Molecule: ribosomal RNA, 207 nt
Filed under: uncultured bacterium
Lineage: Bacteria
Description: partial 16S ribosomal RNA
Rfam family: Bacterial small subunit ribosomal RNA
Source: RNAcentral
UGCGUAGGUGGCAAGGUAAGUUUGGGGUGAAAUCUCCGGGCCCAACCCGGAAACUGCCUCGAAAACUAUCUUGCUUGAGGAUCGGAGGGGAGACUGGAAUUCUCGGUGUAGCAGUGAAAUGCGUAGAUAUCGAGAGGAACAUCAGUGGCGAAGGCGAGUCUCUGGACGGUACCUGACACUGAGGCACGAAAGCCAGGGGAGCAAACG